This 468-nucleotide ribosomal RNA is filed under the name uncultured bacterium. Its description in RNAcentral is "partial 16S ribosomal RNA". It matches the Rfam family "Bacterial small subunit ribosomal RNA", at positions 28 to 507 of the family's 1533-position model. The record is from RNAcentral.
GACGAACGCUGGCGGCGUGCUUAACACAUGCAAGUCGAACGGAAAGGCCCUGCUUUUGUGGGGUGCUCGAGUGGCGAACGGGUGAGUAACACGUGAGUAACCUGCCCUUGACUUUGGGAUAACUUCAGGAAACUGGGGCUAAUACCGGAUAGGAGCUCCUGCUGCAUGGUGGGGGUUGGAAAGUUUCGGCGGUUGGGGAUGGACUCGCGGCUUAUCAGCUUGUUGGUGGGGUAGUGGCUUACCAAGGCUUUGACGGGUAGCCGGCCUGGGAGGGUGACCGGCCACAUUGGGACUGGGGUGCGGCCCAGACUCCUACGGGAGGCAGCAGUGGGGAAUAUUGCACAAUGGGCGGAAGCCUGAUGCAGCAACGCCGCGUGCGGGAUGACGGCCUUCGGGUUGUAAACCGCUUUCGCCUGUGACGAAGCGUGAGUGACGGUAAUGGGUAAAGAAGCACCGGCUAACUACGUG